RNAcentral lists this ribosomal RNA (253 nucleotides) under uncultured bacterium. Its description in RNAcentral is "partial 16S ribosomal RNA". It matches the Rfam family "Bacterial small subunit ribosomal RNA", at positions 524 to 776 of the family's 1533-position model. The record is from RNAcentral.
UACAGGGGGUGCAAGCGUUGUUCGGAAUUACUGGGCGUAAAGGGCCAGUAGGCGGCCAACUAAGUCCGACGUGAAAUCCCCAGGCUUAACCUGGGAACUGCGUCGGAUACUGGAUGGCUUGAAUUCGGGAGAGGGAUGCAGAAUUCCAGGUGUAGCGGUGAAAUGCGUAGAUAUCUGGAGGAAUACCGGUGGCGAAGGCGGCAUCCUGGACCGACAUUGACGCUGAACGGCGAAGGCUAGGGGAGCAAACGGG